RNAcentral lists this ribosomal RNA (648 nucleotides) under Brevibacterium salitolerans. Its description in RNAcentral is "bacterial SSU rRNA". It matches the Rfam family "Bacterial small subunit ribosomal RNA", at positions 213 to 863 of the family's 1533-position model. The record is from RNAcentral. Lineage: Bacteria; Bacillati; Actinomycetota; Actinomycetes; Micrococcales; Brevibacteriaceae.
UUUCGGUUGGGGAUGGGCUCGCGGCCUAUCAGCUUGUUGGUGGGGUAAUGGCCUACCAAGGCGACGACGGGUAGCCGGCCUGAGAGGGCGACCGGCCACACUGGGACUGAGACACGGCCCAGACUCCUACGGGAGGCAGCAGUGGGGAAUAUUGCACAAUGGGGGAAACCCUGAUGCAGCGACGCCGCGUGAGGGAUGACGGCCUUCGGGUUGUAAACCUCUUUCAGCAGGGAAGAAGCCUCCUUUGGGGGUGACGGUACCUGCAGAAGAAGUACCGGCUAACUACGUGCCAGCAGCCGCGGUAAUACGUAGGGUACAAGCGUUGUCCGGAAUUAUUGGGCGUAAAGAGCUCGUAGGCGGUUCGUCGCGUCUGCUGUGGAAACGCAAGGCUCAACCUUGCGCGUGCAGCGGGUACGGGCGUAACUAGAGUGCAGUAGGGGAGUCUGGAAUUCCUGGUGUAGCGGUGAAAUGCGCAGAUAUCAGGAGGAACACCGGUGGCGAAGGCGGGACUCUGGGCUGUUACUGACGCUGAGGAGCGAAAGCUUGGGGAGCGAACAGGAUUAGAUACCCUGGUAGUCCAUGCCGUAAACGUUGGGCACUAGGUGUGGGGCUCAUUCCACGAGUUCCGUGCCGCAGCUAACGCAUUAA